This 273-nucleotide ribosomal RNA is filed under the name uncultured soil bacterium. RNAcentral's name for it is "partial 16S ribosomal RNA". It matches the Rfam family "Bacterial small subunit ribosomal RNA", at positions 26 to 282 of the family's 1533-position model. The record is from RNAcentral.
AGAAUCAACGCUGGCGGCGUGCCUCAGACAUGCAAGUCGAACGCGAAAGUCCCCUUUGGGGGGCAAGUAGAGUGGCGCACGGGUGAGUAACACGUAGGUAAUCUACCUUUGGAUGGGGAAUAACAACCGGAAACGGUUGCUAAUACCGCAUAAUGCAGCGGCACCUAAUGGUGACAGUUGUUAAAGCGGGGGAUCGAAAGACCUCGCGUCUGAAGAGGAGCCUGCGGCGGAUUAGCUAGUUGGUAAGGUAACGGCUUACCAAGGCAACGAUCC